UAGUCAAUAGUCAGAGGACGGCCUUAACUGGUCAGGAUGGGUCUAAACUGGUCAGGACGGGUCUAGUGGUCAGGACGGGUCUAAACUGGUCAGGACGGGUCUAGUGGUCAGGACGGGUCUAGUGGUCAGGACGGGUCUAAACUGGUCAGGACGGGUCUAAACUAGUCAGGACGGGUCUAGUAGUCAGGACGGGUCUAAACUAGUCAGGACGGGUCUAAACUAGACGGGUCUAAACUAGUCAGGACGGGUCUAAACUAGUCAGGACGGGUCUAGUGGUCAGGACGGGUCUAAACUAGUCAGGACGGGUCUAGUGGUCAGGACGGGUCUAAACUAGUCAGGAUGGGUCUAGUGGUCAGGACGGGUCUAAACUAGUCAGGACGGGUCUAAACUA
Molecule: long non-coding RNA, 391 nt
Organism: Oncorhynchus tshawytscha (Chinook salmon)
Lineage: Eukaryota; Metazoa; Chordata; Actinopteri; Salmoniformes; Salmonidae
Source: Ensembl